Molecule: long non-coding RNA, 197 nt
Organism: Lingula anatina
Lineage: Eukaryota; Metazoa; Brachiopoda; Lingulata; Lingulida; Lingulidae
Source: RefSeq, a predicted model, not a curated record
GUGAUGCCCGUGUCCAGAGAUACUGGACGCGUUACGGUCACUGCUCAGAUGUACUUAAGCCAGAUAUUCAAUUUAGACGAGGUGUACCAGAUGUUGUCAUUUUCAGCCAUCUUCGUAGUGAAAUGGAACGACGGACGCUUGGCAUGGAACGCCUCAGAAUUUGGAAAUAUUUCCAGCAUUGCUCUGCCUCUGUCGUC